GAUUCUGUAGUAUAGCGGUUAUCACGUUCGCUUUACACGCGAAAGGUCCCCGGUUCGAACCCGGGCAGAAUCA
Molecule: transfer RNA, 73 nt
Filed under: Patiria miniata (bat star)
Lineage: Eukaryota; Metazoa; Echinodermata; Asteroidea; Valvatida; Asterinidae
Description: tRNA-Val
Rfam family: tRNA
About the family: Transfer RNA (tRNA) molecules are approximately 80 nucleotides in length. Their secondary structure includes four short double-helical elements and three loops (D, anti-codon, and T loops). Further hydrogen bonds mediate the characteristic L-shaped molecular structure. tRNAs have two regions of fundamental functional importance: the anti-codon, which is responsible for specific mRNA codon recognition, and the 3' end, to which the tRNAs corresponding amino acid is attached (by aminoacyl-tRNA synthetases). tRNAs cope with the degeneracy of the genetic code in two manners: having more than one tRNA (with a specific anti-codon) for a particular amino acid; and 'wobble' base-pairing, i.e. permitting non-standard base-pairing at the 3rd anti-codon position.
Source: Rfam by way of RNAcentral